GUCAACAACAUUCAUUUUUCUAUACGUUGAAACGCGACGAUAGAGUACAGUAAUGAGCAGAUUAGAGCGGGUCGUGGGAGGAAACGAGGAGAUUCUCAGCUGGUCGGUAAAUAAGAUAUAAAAACGCGACGGUUCAUCGAUCGAUCCGGACGGAUCGCUUAAGGCGAAGGAGGUGUGGCAUUAAUCUGUGAUCACCGGGAUAUCACCUGAGGUAUUUAUCCGAGAUUUUCCCUAAUUGCUCGGCAUUACCUCCUCGCGUUCUCAGCCGAUAGUCCAGUCGAUCGCUGCCGACGCUGCGCGCUGAACACGUCGCAUAGAUCGCCGGUGGGAAAAUUCGUCUUCUUCGUAAAUAUACGUGUCGCGGCUGUGUGUGCGCGCGUCUAUGUACACGCGUACACGCCUGUGUGUCCGUUCACCACGUAAUCGUCGGGAUAUGUCGGGAACAUGAAUGUACAUGUUCGUCGAACCACAGUAACGGCACAACUACGUAGAGUUGCAACUUUUUUGAUGUCAGUGGUCAUCGGUCACGUGACUGUCAGCCAUGUUGUGGAUUGUACGGGCGCUGAAUUUGAACAUCAAGAGACGUAGUGUUUCGCGUAAAAUAGCUGUCAAAUUCAGAAUGAAAUCCUAUAUAUAAUUUUAUAGAAUAUAGAACUGUAUAUAUUAAUGUCGAUACAUUUCGCUAUUCUUCGGAAAUCAAAAGAAACUUAUUGCAUUUUCUCCCCGUUCACAAAUAUUUUUGCAUGUAACAAACGUACAUACGAGAUACCACCUCUUGUAUUCAUUUUAUAUUACGAUUAUAACAUAAAUAUUUUUAAAUGUGUCAUACACUCAGCUGUGCUGUCUCACUCGCCGGUAUCAUUAUGACAGUCCGCCAUAUUCUUGGUUGCACAGUCAACGCACGCGCAGAAGAAAAUCGAACCCUCAAUUUCCCAGCACUGUCGCAACCGUGUGUAGUUGAACUGUGGUAACAGCAUGAUUUCCUUCUUCCGAAAGAAACUUGUAUCAAGAUGUCGGGAGUUUAGAAAUAGUUUAAUUACCUCUGCAUUUCCGGGCCAUUCGACAUUCCCUUGGAAUGCGUUCGUGUAUCUUUACUCCAUGCAUUGAUUUAGCGUCUAAUUCCAAACUUGUCCGUCUCCAAAACUCUUAUAACCUUUAUCGGACGUUAGCUUUUUAUGCGUGACUCUCGCUAGAUUCUAGCUGGUUUCGGUAAA
This is a long non-coding RNA of Dinoponera quadriceps, 1214 nucleotides long. RefSeq lists it as uncharacterized. Lineage: Eukaryota; Metazoa; Arthropoda; Insecta; Hymenoptera; Formicidae. The record is from RefSeq and is a predicted model, not a curated record. The transcript is spliced from 3 exons.